CCUACGGGAGGCAGCAGUGAGGAAUAUUGGUCAAUGGGCUUACGCCUGAACCAGCCAAGUCGCGUGAGGGAAGACUGCACUAUGGGUUGUAAACCUCUUUUGUCAGGGAGCAACGCCGGCUACGUGUAGCCGGACUGAGAGUACCUGAAGAAAAAGCAUCGGCUAACUCCGUGCCAGCAGCCGCGGUAAUACGGAGGAUGCGAGCGUUAUCCGGAUUUAUUGGGGUAAAGGGGUGCGUAGGCGGAAUGCCAAGUCAGCGGUAAAAGCGCGGGGCUCAACCUCGCUCCGCCGUUGAAACUGGCGUUCUUGAGUGGGCGAGAAGUAUGCGGAAUGCGUGGUGUAGCGGUGAAAUGCAUAGAUAUCACGCAGAACUCCGAUUGCGAAGGCAGCAUACCGGCGCCCAACUGACGCUGAAGCACGAAAGCGUGGGUAUCGAACAGGAUUAGAUACCCCAGUAGUC
RNAcentral lists this ribosomal RNA (460 nucleotides) under uncultured bacterium. RNAcentral describes it as "partial 16S ribosomal RNA". It matches the Rfam family "Bacterial small subunit ribosomal RNA", at positions 338 to 795 of the family's 1533-position model. The record is from RNAcentral.